This 447-nucleotide ribosomal RNA is filed under the name uncultured soil bacterium. RNAcentral's name for it is "bacterial SSU rRNA". It matches the Rfam family "Bacterial small subunit ribosomal RNA", at positions 26 to 518 of the family's 1533-position model. The record is from RNAcentral.
AGAACGAACGCUGGCGGCAUGCCUAAUACAUGCAAGUCGAACGAACACUUCGGUGUUAGUGGCGCACGGGUGCGUAACGCGUGGGAAUCUGCCCUUGGGUUCGGAAUAACAGUUGGAAACGACUGCUAAUACCGGAUGAUAUCGAAAGAUCAAAGAUUUAUCGCCCAGGGAUGAGCCCGCGUAGGAUUAGCUAGUUGGUGAGGUAAAGGCUCACCAAGGCGACGAUCCUUAGCUGGUCUGAGAGGAUGAUCAGCCACACUGGGACUGAGACACGGCCCAGACUCCUACGGGAGGCAGCAGUAGGGAAUAUUGGACAAUGGGCGCAAGCCUGAUCCAGCAAUGCCGCGUGAGCGAUGAAGGCCUUAGGGUUGUAAAGCUCUUUUACCCGAGAUGAUAAUGACAGUAUCGGGAGAAUAAGCCCCGGCUAACCUCCGCGCCAGCAGCCGC